This is a long non-coding RNA of Glycine soja, 281 nucleotides long. RefSeq lists it as uncharacterized. Lineage: Eukaryota; Viridiplantae; Streptophyta; Magnoliopsida; Fabales; Fabaceae. The record is from RefSeq and is a predicted model, not a curated record. The transcript has 4 exons.
AGCUUUGAUGUGUUCUAAAAGUUGGUUAUGGAAUUCAGAGAAUGCAGGUUCUAGAUCAAUUGAAGAAUCAACUUUUACUGAUGAGAUUGAAUCCGAUGAUGAAGGUGGAUCUUUGGUCAGUAACAUUACUCAAUGUUUGCAAGAUUAGUAGACAUUAUUGUUGAUCGGUUGAGCGCUGAAGAAGAAAUGUUGAUGACAUCUUUGGUGAAGUUGGUGGUUAUUUUGAUGAUGGACAUUGUUUUCAUUUUCUAUUUAUUUCUAAUUUGGUGUAAUUUGAACUA